This 2622-nucleotide ribosomal RNA is filed under the name Triticum aestivum (bread wheat). RNAcentral describes it as "partial small subunit ribosomal RNA". Lineage: Eukaryota; Viridiplantae; Streptophyta; Magnoliopsida; Poales; Poaceae. The record is from RNAcentral.
AUGGCGCUGAGGACGGCGCUCCCGGCGCUCCCCCGGGCCUUCGCGUGCCGCCAGCGGCUGGCCACGCGCGCCUCGUCGGCCCGGGUGGAGGAGCAUGACGUCGAUCGCCCCAACACCCGGAGCGCCCGCCGGGCGUUCGACGGAAGUCCCGACCGGGACGCCGCGGCGGGGGGAAGCUCCGGCUCCAGCCGGGACGCCCUCGUCGAAUGCGCGCGGCGCGGGAUGGGGCGGGAGGCGCUGGGCCAUUUCUCGGCCGCGCGGCGCCACGGCGGCGAACGCGUCGACGGCGCCAUGCUGUCCUGCGCGCUCAAGGCGUGCGGGGCGAUGCCGGGCUGCUGCAGGGCCGCCGGGGAGCAGCUGCAUUGCCUGUGCGUCAAGUGCGGGCUCGACCGGGCCGACGUCGGCGUCGGCACGGCCCUCGUCGACGUGUACACGAAGUGCGGCGGCGUGGAGGAUGCCAGGCUGGUGUUCGAGGGGAUGCCGCAGAGGAACGUCGGCACGUGGACGUCGUUGCUCACCGGUUACGCCCAGGGCGGCGCGCACUCGGACGCCAUGGCGCUCUUCUUCAGGAUGCGCGCCGAGGGGAUAUGGCCGAACCCGUUCACGUUCACGAGCGUCCUCUCCGCGGUGGCGGGCCAGGGCGCGCUCGACCUUGGGCGGCGCGUGCAUGCUCAGUCGGUGAAGUUCGGAUGCCGCUCGACAGUUUUCGUGUGUAAUUCCCUGAUGAACAUGUACGCGAAGUGCGGACUGGUUGAAGAAGCCAAGGCUGUGUUCUGUGGGAUGGAGACCAGGGACAUGGUGUCGUGGAACACGUUGAUGGCAGGCCUUCUGUUGAACGGGUGUGAGGUGGAGGCCCUGGAGCUGUUCCAUGACUCGCGAGCAAGCAUGGCGAAGCUGUCACAGUCGACCUACUCGACGGUGAUCAAGCUAUGUGCAAACCUCAAACAGUUGGCCCUGGCACGGCAGCUCCACAGCUGUGUGCUAAAACAUGGGUUCAGUUCAGAUGGCAAUGUCAUGACAGCCAUUAUGGAUGCCUACAGCAAGUGCGGCGAACUGGAUGAUGCUUUCAACAUAUUCUUGUUGAUGUCAGGAUCGCAGAGUGUCGUUUCAUGGACUGCUAUGAUAGGCGGGUGCAUUCAGAACGGUGACAUUCCUCUUGCUGCCUCACUCUUUAGCAGAAUGAGAGAAGACAAUGUCAAGCCAAAUGAGUUCACCUACUCGACGAUGCUCACAACAUCACUGCCAGUCUUGCCUCCCCAGAUUCAUGCGCAGAUCAUCAAAACCAACUACCAGCAUGCACCAUCUGUCGGAACUGCACUUCUUGCCUCAUACUCAAAGCUUGGAAGCACUGAAGAAGCCCUCUCUAUAUUUGAAACCAUUGACCAGAAGGACGUUGUUGCAUGGUCUGCAAUGUUGUCGUGCUAUUCCCAAGCUGGCGACUGCGAUGGUGCCACAAAUGUGUUCAUGGAGAUGUCCAUGCAAGGCAUGAAGCCAAAUGAGUUCACUAUCUCUAGUGUCAUCGAUGCAUGUGCUAGUCCCACCGCUGGCGUUGACCAGGGUAGGCAGUUCCACGCUGUUUCGAUCAAAUACAGAUACCAGGACGCUAUCUGCGUGGGCAGCGCACUUGUCAGCAUGUAUGCAAGAAAAGGGAGCAUUGACAGUGCUCGAAGUGUCUUUGAGAGGCAGACAGAGAGAGACUUGGUGUCAUGGAACUCGAUGAUAUCAGGGUAUGCGCAGCACGGUUACAGCAAGGAGGCCCUUGAUACAUUCCGUCAGAUGGAAGCUGCGGGCGUCGAGAUGGAUGGUGUCACAUUCCUUGCGGUUAUCAUAGGAUGCACUCAUGCUGGACUUGUACAAGAAGGCCAGCGAUACUUCGAUUCCAUGGUUAGAGACCACAAGAUCAGUCCCACCAUGGAGCAUUAUGCGUGCAUGGUGGAUCUCUACAGCCGCGCAGGCAAGUUGGAUGAAACAAUGGACCUUAUCGGAGGCAUGCCGUUCCCAGCGGGUGCAAUGGUAUGGCGCACACUGCUAGGCGCAUGCAGAGUUCACAAGAAUGUUGAGCUUGGGAAGCUGGCCGCAGAGAAGCUGCUAUCGCUUGAGCCGCUCGAUUCGGCUACAUACGUGCUGCUCUCCAACAUCUAUGCGUCCGCAGGGAAGUGGAAAGAGAGGGAUGAAGUGAGGAAGCUCAUGGAUUCUAAAAAGGUGAAGAAGGAAGCUGGAUCCAGCUGGAUUCAGAUCAAGAACAAGGUCCAUUCCUUUAUAGCCUCCGAUAAAUCGCACCGUCUGUCCGACCAGAUAUACACAAAGCUGAAGGCGAUGACAGCCAGGUUGAAGCAGGAGGGUUACUGCCCGAACACGAGCUUUGUGCUCCAUGACAUGGAACAAGAGCAGAAGGAAGCCAUGCUGGUCACGCACAGUGAGCGGCUGGCUCUUGCCUUCGGUCUGAUAGCUACGCCACCAGGGACGCCCCUUCAGAUUGUCAAAAACCUGCGGGUCUGUGGGGACUGCCAUGUGGUGAUGAAGAUGGUGUCGGCGGUUGAGGACAGGGAGAUCAUCAUGCGAGACUGCAGCAGGUUCCACCACUUCAAAUCUGGUGCCUGCUCUUGUGGUGAUUUCUGGUGA